RNAcentral lists this ribosomal RNA (409 nucleotides) under Actinomycetes bacterium. Its description in RNAcentral is "Actinobacteria bacterium partial 16S ribosomal RNA". It matches the Rfam family "Bacterial small subunit ribosomal RNA", at positions 355 to 776 of the family's 1533-position model. The record is from RNAcentral. Lineage: Bacteria; Bacillati; Actinomycetota; Actinomycetes.
UGGGGAAUAUUGCACAAUGGGCGGAAGCCUGAUGCAGCGACGCCGCGUGGGGGAUGAAGGCCUUCGGGUUGUAAACUCCUUUCGACAGGGACGAAGCUUUUGUGACGGUACCUGUAUAAGAAGCACCGGCUAACUACGUGCCAGCAGCCGCGGUAAUACGUAGGGUGCGAGCGUUGUCCGGAAUUACUGGGCGUAAAGAGCUCGUAGGUGGUUUGUCGCGUCGUCUGUGAAAUUCCGGGGCUUAACUCCGGGCGUGCAGGCGAUACGGGCUUACUUGAGUGCUGUAGGGGAGACUGGAAUUCCUGGUGUAGCGGUGAAAUCCGCAGAUAUCAGGAGGACCACCGAUGGCGAAGGCAGGUCUCUGGGCAGUAACUGACGCUGCGGAGCGAAAGCAUGGGUAGCGAACAGG